This 433-nucleotide ribosomal RNA is filed under the name uncultured bacterium. RNAcentral describes it as "partial 16S ribosomal RNA". It matches the Rfam family "Bacterial small subunit ribosomal RNA", at positions 29 to 507 of the family's 1533-position model. The record is from RNAcentral.
AACGAACGCUGGCGGCAUGCCUAACACAUGCAAGUCGAACGAGACCUUCGGGUCUAGUGGCGCACGGGUGCGUAACGCGUGGGAACCUGCCCUUAGGUUCGGAAUAACUCCCCGAAAGGGGUGCUAAUACCGGAGAAUGUCUUCGGACCAAAGAUUUAUCGCCUUUGGAUGGGCCCGCGUUGGAUUAGCUAGUUGGUAGGGUAAAAGCCUACCACGGCGACGAUCCAUAGCUGGUCUGAGAGGAUGAUCAGCCACACUGGGACUGAGACACGGCCCAGACUCCUACGGGAGGCAGCAGUGGGGAAUAUUGGACAACGGGCGAAAGCAUGAUCCAGCAAUGCCGCGUGAGUGAUGAAGGCCUUAGGGUUGUAAAGCUCUUUUACCCGGGAUGAUAAUGACAGUACCGGGAGAAUAAGCUCCGGCUAACUCCGUG